This is a long non-coding RNA of Tupaia belangeri chinensis (Chinese tree shrew), 233 nucleotides long. RefSeq lists it as uncharacterized. The transcript is spliced from 2 exons. The record is from RefSeq and is a predicted model, not a curated record. NCBI's taxonomy places the organism in Eukaryota, Metazoa, Chordata, Mammalia, Scandentia, Tupaiidae.
ACCCAACUGUGCUCUCUCUCAGGGAAACGGAAGUGUAUGAUGAUGUCGCCUUCUGGGACCCCCUGGAGAACCAACCAUUCCCCCGGGGACGGUAAGGCCCACAGGUGUGGGGCCCAGGACAGCCCACCAGCCCAGACACCGCGAAUCAGGAGCCCUGGAUUACAGCUUGGCAAAGUCAAAGAACUGCCCAAGCUCAUGAUGGGUCACAUAAAGUGCCUCUUUAUUUAAAGCAA